RNAcentral lists this small RNA (90 nucleotides) under Salmonella enterica. Its description in RNAcentral is "partial RtT sRNA". It matches the Rfam family "RtT RNA", at positions 1 to 86 of the family's 130-position model. From Rfam's summary of the family: This family represents a bacterial cis-regulatory element known as RtT RNA. The exact function of RtT is unknown although it is thought that it may be involved in changing the cellular response in relation to amino acid starvation. RNAcentral also lists the same sequence under 3 other names. Lineage: Bacteria; Pseudomonadati; Pseudomonadota; Gammaproteobacteria; Enterobacterales; Enterobacteriaceae. The record is from RNAcentral.
UGCAUCUGAAGCCUGACGAGGAUGAGAACCUCCGGGGGCAAGAGGUUCGACUCGAGCGCAGCGAGAGAACGUUGCGUCAGCAACGGCCCG